RNAcentral lists this ribosomal RNA (1810 nucleotides) under human gut metagenome. Its description in RNAcentral is "bacterial LSU rRNA". It matches the Rfam family "Bacterial large subunit ribosomal RNA", at positions 1 to 1980 of the family's 2925-position model. The record is from RNAcentral.
UCAAGCGAUAGGUAAGAGCAUUUGGCGAAUGCCUAGGCAAUCAGAGGCGAAGAAGGACGUGAUACACUGCGAAAAGCCGUGGGGAGCUGUGAAUAAGCAUUGAUCCGCGGAUGUCCGAAUGGGGAAACCCGGCCGCAAGGUCACUUUCACACGAAUACAUAGUGUAGAAAGAGCGAACGCAGGGAACUGAAACAUCUAAGUACCUGUAGGAAAGGAAAUCAACCGAGACUCCGAAAGUAGUGGCGAGCGAAAUCGGACCAGCCGAUGGAUUUAUUAAUAAGAAUUGGAAGCAUCUGGAAAGUUGCACCAAAGAAGGUGAUAGUCCUGUACAAGUAGAAAGUUAAUAAAUUCUUGAGUAAGGCGGAGCACGAGAAAUUCUGUCUGAAAAUGGGGAGACCACUCUCCAAGGCUAAGUACUACUGAUUGACCGAUAGUGAACAAGUACCGUGAGGGAAAGGUGAAAAGCACCCCUAUAAGGGGAGUGAAAGAGAACCUGAAACCGAAUGCUUACAAGCAGUCGGAGGGUCUUUAAGGCCUGACGGCGUACCUUUUGUAUAAUGGGUCAGCGACUUAGUGUAUGUAGCAAGCUUAAGCCGAUAGGUGUAGGCGUAGCGAAAGCGAGUUUUAAUAGAGCGAUAAGUUACAUGCAUUAGACCCGAAACCGAGUGAUCUAGCCAUGAGCAGGUUGAAGGUUGGGUAACACCAACUGGAGGACCGCACCCAUAUCUGUUGAAAAAGAUAGGGAUGACUUGUGGCUAGGGGUGAAAGGCCAAUCAAACUCGGAAAUAGCUGGUUCUCCGCGAAAACUAUUUAGGUAGUGCGGUGAGCGGACACCUUGAGGGGUAGAGCACUGAAAGAGCUAAGGGGGAGCGAUCCUUACUAAACUUUAUCAAACUCCGAAUACUCAAGAGUGAUACUCACCAGACAGACAUUAGGUGCUAAGGUCUAGUGUCGAGAGGGAAAGAGCCCAGACCGUCAAUUAAGGUCCCAAAAUUAUGGCUAAGUGGUAAAGGAAGUGAAUUGUCCAAAACAGUCAGGAGGUUGGCUUAGAAGCAGCCAUCCUUUAAAGAAAGCGUAAUAGCUCACUGAUCUAAACAAGACGAUUUGCGCCGAAGAUGUAACGGGGCUAAAGCCAUAUACCGAAAUUACGGAUUUACACGUAAGUGUAAGUGGUAGCGGAGCGUUCUGUAGGCCUGCGAAGGUGAACCGUAAGGUUUGCUGGAGGUAUCAGAAGUGAGAAUGCUGACAUGAGUAGCGAAAAGAAGAGUGAGAGACUCUUCCGCUGAAAGUCCAAGGUUUCCUGCGUAAAGCUAAUCUGCGCAGGGUUAGUCGGCCCCUAAGGCGAGGCAGAGAUGCGUAGUCGAUGGGAAUCAGGUUAAUAUUCCUGAACCAACUAGGAAGUGACGGAUUCAGUAAAUUGUAUGUCCUUAUUGGAUUGGAUAUGCAGUGAAUGAGUUCCAGGAAAUAGCCCUAGUAUAGACCGUACCCCAAACCGACACAGGUGGACAGGUAGAGAAUACCAAAGCGCUUGAGAGAACUAUGUUGAAGGAACUAGGCAAAAUACUUGCGUAACUUCGGGAUAAGCAAGCCCCAUUUUAAGGCAACUUAAGGUGGGGGGCACAUACUAGGGGGUAGCGACUGUUUACUAAAAACACAGGACUCUGCUAAAUUGAAAGAUGAAGUAUAGGGUCUGACGCCUGCCCGGUGCUGGAAGGUUAAGGAGAGAUGUGAGAGCAUUGAACUGAAGCCCCAGUAAACGGCGGCCGUAACUAUAACGGUCCUAAGGUAGCGAAAUUCCUUGUCGGGUAAG